UACAGAGGUCCCAAGCGUUGUUCGGAUUCACUGGGCGUAAAGGGUGCGUAGGCGGUCGGGUAAGUCUGACGUGAAAUCUCCAAGCCUAACUUGGAAACUGCGUUGGAUACUAUCCGGCUCGAGGAAUGGAGGGGAGACUGGAAUUCCUGGUGUAGCGGUGAAAUGCGCAGAUAUCAGGAGGAACACCGGUGGCGAAGGCGGGUCUCUGGGCCAAAACUGACGCUGAGGAGCGAAAGCGUGGGGAGCGAACAGG
RNAcentral lists this ribosomal RNA (253 nucleotides) under uncultured bacterium. RNAcentral describes it as "partial 16S ribosomal RNA". It matches the Rfam family "Bacterial small subunit ribosomal RNA", at positions 524 to 776 of the family's 1533-position model. The record is from RNAcentral.